RNAcentral lists this transfer RNA (72 nucleotides) under Pliacanthopus bimaculatus. Its description in RNAcentral is "tRNA-Trp". Lineage: Eukaryota; Metazoa; Arthropoda; Insecta; Mantodea; Nanomantidae. The record is from RNAcentral.
AAGACUUUAAGUUAACUAAAACUAAUAUCCUUCAAAGCUAUAAAUAAAGAGGAAAAUACCCUUUAAGUCUUA